GAUGAACGCUGGCGGCGUGCUUAACACAUGCAAGUCGAACGAGAAAUGGAGACGGAAACCUUCGGGCGGAAGGCUUCAUUUCGAGUGGCGGACGGGUGAGUAACGCGUGGGUAACCUGCCUCAUACAGGGGGAUAACAGUUGGAAACGACUGUUAAUACCGCAUAAGACCACAGCACCGCAUGGUGCGGGGGUAAAAACUCCGGUGGUAUGAGAUGGACCCGCGUUCGAUUAGCCAGUUGGCGGGGUAACGGCCCACCAAAGCGACGAUCGAUAGCCGAUCUGAGAGGAUGACCGGCCACAUUGGGACUGAGACACGGCCCAAACUCCUACGGGAGGCAACAGUGGGGAAUAUUGCACAAUGGGGGAAACCCUGAUGCAGCGACGCCGCGUGAGUGAAGAAGUACUUCGGUAUGUAAAGCUCUAUCAGCAGGGAAGAAAAUGACGGUACCUGAGGAAGAAGCCCCGGCUAACUACGUG
This 478-nucleotide ribosomal RNA is filed under the name uncultured bacterium. RNAcentral describes it as "partial 16S ribosomal RNA". It matches the Rfam family "Bacterial small subunit ribosomal RNA", at positions 28 to 507 of the family's 1533-position model. The record is from RNAcentral.